Molecule: long non-coding RNA, 1823 nt
Organism: Salvia splendens (bonfire salvia)
Lineage: Eukaryota; Viridiplantae; Streptophyta; Magnoliopsida; Lamiales; Lamiaceae
Exons: 2
Source: RefSeq, a predicted model, not a curated record
GAAAACAUCACAAUAUAAUAAUACACUAAUUAGACUCAAGGACAAAACUACUUAAAUUAGAAUGCAUGCACCCUCAUUAAAGUCUUUUAUCUCGUUUCUCGGUUUUUGCAUAUUUUUGAUUAUUCGGCAGCCGUCCAAGGAGUCGCUUGAGACGCCGGUCGGCCGCUUACGCCCAUAAUUCCUCCGUUGGCUCCUCGUAUUUCCCUCCACGAUAUCGAAAUAAAUUCCCAAAAAUUAUUUAAGCGUAUAAUUAAAUUCUCGCCUUCAUUUCCUCUAAAAAAAAUAUAUUUAUUUCGGACUUAAGAUAAAUUAUUCAUACUUCAAAAAUUAUUCCGGAAUUUAUUUAAAUAUUCCUCACCAUUAAAUUUAUUCAUCGGCCCAAGGAUUUAAAUUAAUCUGGCCCAAGUAAAUUUUAUUCCCAGUCCAACUAAUUCUUGGCCACCUCUUUUAUUUAUUUAUUAUUGUUUUUUUUAAAUAUUGACUGCAGCCCAACUUACUAAAAGGAGUUGGGCUCGGAUUUUAUUUUGCAUGGCCUAAUUCAAAUUAUGUUAAAUGCCCAAAACCAUUUAAUUCCUUAGCCCAAGUAAAGAAAACUAGCCCAAAACUUAAGCCCAAUUAAAGAAACCCUAUGUAAAAACUAAGUCUUCUUCCUCCCUCCCUCAUUCAUCAACUGAACGACAGCAGCCUCUCUCUCCCCUCUCUCUCUCGUCGCCGCCACUCCACCGCCCUGCCAGCGCCGCCGCUCCGGCGGCGCCCCUCUCUCCCUCUCUUGUUUCCCUUCUCUUACUCUCCUCCCUCCUCUCUCUUCUCUCCGCCUCACGCCGCCGCCAUCCCCCUCCGUCUUCCUCCCGAUCCGCCGCUGCUUCUUCUCCACGCCUCGCGCUGCCGGAACAGCUCCCCGAAGCCACCACAGUCGCCGCCUCCUCGCCGGACUCCCGAAAGGUUGUGAAAUGAGUGACGUAUCGGGGUGGGGGUUGUCCUUGGUUGUCUCCGGGCUGCCGAAGAGCCAUCGCCGGAAAUCCGGCAGAUUCGUAUUCACGAGAUAAGCUCAUUCUUUAUAGUUAUUAAGAUUUUACUUUGGUUCUACUUACUGUAUUUGGUGAAUUGUGACUAUAUGCCUUAUUUGGAAGACUCAAUGGUGAAAUAUGUUGUUUUAAAUUUGUUUUGGCAGAUUCUACUUCCAACUAUACGUAUAUGUAUGCUCGUAUAUAUAUAUAUAUGAAAGAAAAGAAGGGUUUGAGAUUUACCUUUUCAGGUGGAAUAAGCGUUAUGGAGUUGUAGUGCUCGACUCCACAAUUAUCGGCCGCCCUUCUCCUUCAAUUUCUAUGUGGAAAUUUCUUUUUUUUUUUUUUAAUUUUGGUUGUGAAAAUAAGUGGAUAUCUAAAUAUAUAUGUACACAAAGGAUGGCAAUGAAGUGACGUUGGCAGCCAAGUUGUCUUACAUAUUCUUUUCUCAAAAUAUUCUACUUUGUGAUAAGGAUUGCCUAAGGAUUGUCUGCUUCUAAUUAAAUGCAGUUUUAAUGCUGUGUCGGAAGAAUCGAUCCUCUAGGAUCUGCUUCCAUUUUUUUAAUACAAUUAUUUAUUAUUAUUAUUAUUAUUUAAUUAUUUAAGUAAUUGUUUAUUGAUUUAUUCACUUGUUUAUUAAAUUUUGGUGUAGGUAUAAUCGUUUCAAGUUCGUGGCCGUUCGCGUUGAAGUACCCGUUUUCAUAAAACAUACGAUGUAUAAAUUAAAUUUUCGUUGGACUUUUGUUGGAUGUAUCGGACAUUUAAAAUUUUAAAUUUUUGGAGUCUUAUUUAUUUAUUCAUUUAAAUUUAUUAUAUUCA